This 468-nucleotide ribosomal RNA is filed under the name uncultured bacterium. RNAcentral describes it as "partial 16S ribosomal RNA". It matches the Rfam family "Bacterial small subunit ribosomal RNA", at positions 28 to 507 of the family's 1533-position model. The record is from RNAcentral.
GACGAACGCUGGCGGCGUGCUUAACACAUGCAAGUCGAACGGAAAGGCCCUGCUUUUGUGGGGUGCUCGAGUGGCGAACGGGUGAGUAACACGUGAGUAACCUGCCCUUGACUUUGGGAUAACUUCAGGAAACUGGGGCUAAUACCGGAUAGGAGCUCCUGCUGCAUGGUGGGGGUUGGAAAGUUUCGGCGGUUGGGGAUGGACUCGCGGCUUAUCAGCUUGUUGGUGGGGUAGUGGCUUACCAAGGCUUUGACGGGUAGCCGGCCUGAGAGGGUGACCGGCGACAUUGGGCCUGAGGUACGGCCCAGACUCCAACGGGAGGCAGCAGUGGGGAAUAUGGCACAAUGGGCGGAAGCCUGAUGCAGCAACGCCGCGUGCGGGAUGACGGCCUUCGGGUUAUAAACCGCUUUCGCCUGUGACGAAGCGUGAGUGACGGUAAUGGGUAAAGAAGCACCGGCUAACUACGUG